GCGGAUUUAGCUCAGUUGGGAGAGCGCCAGACUGAAGAAAAACUUCGGUCAAACAUCAAUUGUAAUCUGGAGGUCCUGUGUUCGAUCCACAGAAUUCGCA
Molecule: transfer RNA, 100 nt
Organism: Naumovozyma castellii
Lineage: Eukaryota; Fungi; Ascomycota; Saccharomycetes; Saccharomycetales; Saccharomycetaceae
Rfam family: tRNA
About the family: Transfer RNA (tRNA) molecules are approximately 80 nucleotides in length.
Source: Rfam